This is a long non-coding RNA of Canis lupus familiaris (dog), 1307 nucleotides long. RefSeq lists it as uncharacterized. Lineage: Eukaryota; Metazoa; Chordata; Mammalia; Carnivora; Canidae. The transcript has 4 exons. The record is from RefSeq and is a predicted model, not a curated record.
AGAGAGAGAGGGAGAGAGAGAGCGAGAAGCAGAGGGAAAAGCAGGCUCUGUGCAGGGAGCCGGACACAGGACUUGAUCCCGGGGGUCCAGGAUCAUACCCCCGGGAGAAGGCGGCGCUAAACCACUGGGCCACUGGGGUUGUCCUACUUGGGGUCUUUUAAUGAAAGACUUUCAGGGGGUAUAAUGAAGGAGAAACAAAUUUUUCAUGAGUUGAAAACUUACUGGGAGAUGAAGUGGAAACCAUGAGGACACAACUCUCUUGAGAACUCUGGCUGCAAAAGAGCUACCACUUCAUAACGGAGUGGUUGUGACAGAGAUCUUCUGGACCACCAACUGAAGAUAUUGACUAUCUGGUCCUCUUGCAGAAGAUGUUCGUCAGUCUCUGUUCUAGAGGAAAGAUGGGAAGGUUUCAGAGGAAGCAUAACCUUGAGAAAUAUUUCAAGCAUUCAGAAAAGAGAAUAAUAGAACACCCAUGUAAUCCACUACCUAGAUCUUAAAAGUGCCAAUAUUUUACUAUACCUUCAGAGCUUAAUAAAAAGAAUAAAAACAUUACAGCCAGUCUUCUGCUCUUUGAAACUUGCCCAAAUUGUUGAAAACAGAAGCAGAUACAUCUGAAAGAUUCUCAGUGGAAGAUAUGAAAUAAUUUGGUCUCAAUUGUCUUCUCUUUCUGUCCUUUUUUUCCCUUCAUCUCCCUUCCCUCUUUUUCUCUCUUGCUCUGUUAAGGAUUUUGAAUAUAAGAAGAAACAGCAAAAGGAGAAGCUUGUCAGGAGGGUGUGACUUUAGCACCCAUCUUCCAGAAAAGAGCAGACAUUUUUCAGGAGCAGCUAACAGCUAUCACAUGCUGGCUAAGUGCAAGAACCCGUGCUAAGCAUUUUACGUUCGUUUGGUGAUCCUCAGUGUGACCCUUGGAGGUUUUCCUUGCCCAAGGCCCUGAGCUAGUAGGUGGAGAGUCUAACCAAGGAUCCAGAGCUGUUGUGCUUAACCAUUCAGAAAGAGAAGCCAUGUUGAUCCCAAGAAGGGACAGUGCUAGGUGAGCUAUUAACAGUGAGGAGUCCCCCAGAGCUAGUGCUUUAACAACUUUUGGUAUGAUUCUAUUUCCAAAUUAAGUAUCAUAAUUAUUGUUCGUAACAAAUAAUAAUAAAGCAGUAAACAAAGAAUGUUUAGACAAAUUUUUGGUUUUCAAAAAAAGAGCUUGUUUAUUCUCAUUACAAGAAAAAACCUUUUGUUAACUACCUAUGGUGACAGAUGUUAACUCAACUUAUUAGUGAUGAUCUUUUUGCAAUAUACACAAAUAUCAAAUUAUUUUU